RNAcentral lists this ribosomal RNA (487 nucleotides) under uncultured bacterium. Its description in RNAcentral is "bacterial SSU rRNA". It matches the Rfam family "Bacterial small subunit ribosomal RNA", at positions 28 to 509 of the family's 1533-position model. The record is from RNAcentral.
GACGAACGCUGGCGGCGUGGAUUAGGCAUGCAAGUCGAACGGUAGGAUACCUUCGGGUAUCUGAGAGUGGCGAACGGGUGAGUAACACGUAGGUGAUCUACCCUCAAGAUUGGGACAACCCAGGGAAACUUGGGCUAAUACCGGAUGAAAGCAGCAGUGAUGUUGUUUGAAAGGUGGCGUAAGCUGCCGUUUGGGGAUGAGCCUGCGCUCUAUUAGUUAGUUGGCGGGGUAAAGGCCCACCAAGGCGAUGAUAGAUAGGCGGCCUUAACGGGUGGUCGCCCACACUGGGAUUGAGAUACGGCCCAGACUCCUACGGGAGGCAGCAGUCGAGAAUAGUCUACAAUGGCCGAAAGGCUGAUAGUGCGACGCCGCGUGAACGAAGAAGCCCUUCGGGUGUAAAGUCUUUAUAUGUGAGCAGUGCUUUCUAUGUGAACAGCAUGGGGAGAGAGAUAUUAGCAUAUGAAUAAGCAACGGCUAACUCCGUGCC